CCCGAGCGGCGUCUCAGAUGCCGGCCACGGCAAGCGGCGGCGCGCGGCCGGAGGAGGCGGCAGCGGCGGCGGCCCGCGGCCUCCUGGAUAGGGACGAGGCCGGAGGAGCUGACGGCGAGGCUGGCAGCCUCGGGGACCGCAGCCCGGAGCGCGGGUCGGGGCGGUUUCGGCACCGGCGCCGGCGCUCCCCCCGACCCUCCCAGAUGCCGGCCACGGCGAGCGGCGGCGCGCGCCGGAGGAGGCGGCAGCGGCUGAACGGAGGAGACGCGGCGCUUCCGUCCCGAGUAGAGGGCCGGCUGUCAGCGCGAGGCCGAUGGCCCACCAUGCCGCCGUGCGCCACUCGCCGCGGCCGGAACUCCGUGUCUGCGCUUCGCCUCGACGUGCAGCGCCAUGGAGGCUCCCCUCGCACUCCUCGCGUGGGCGCUGGUCCGCUCGCCGCCCCUGCCGCAGCGUCGGAGAUGGUCAUGGCCGGUUCUCCACAACUCGCCCAUCCCCAACCGCCCGUCGCCUCAGCAGCCACCUGAACCGGACUCUGCAUUGCCGGAAGGCCAGAGCAGCCUUCAGCACCUGCAGAGAAGCUGGGCUUGGUGGGGCUUCACAAACAGGGUGUGCGGGGAGCAGCUCGCCGGCGACUGGCCCACCUAUCUCUUCACUGUUGACGGUGAGGCCAUCAACAGCUAGACCCGCGCCGCGGCGACUCCUUUGAGAUGACCGGCAAGGCACAUCUAACACAAGAUGAAGUGGAGGAUUUCAGUUUUUUGGUUGCAAGGGGCAUCCACCAUGACUCUGUGCACCUGAUCAAUGGCCCCACCAUGACUCUGUGCACCUGAUCAAUGGCUCCACCAUAAAUCUUUGAAUUAAAUCUACUGCAUACAUGGCAUUUCAAAAAAUUGCAGGAAUUACAGCACCAGACUAAUAAUCAAUGAACAGAAGGGCAUGCUGUGCUGCUAAUCAAGUUGCCUGGUGCUUCUGCAGCUUCCUGCACGGUAGAUGUGGUGGCCAGCUUUCUUCUCAUUAGUCAUGCCUGUGUCAAUGGCUCGGUCAUCCAGAUUUUAAUCUCAGCUGCUAGCCUCCAUGGUACAUCUCCCGCAGGCGUUCUACCCUGAAUCAGGCAUAGUUCGUGUUGUUAGGCUCCCCUUUCCCCUUUUCAUAGGCUUCAUGCCAAACUCUCUGUAUUUCUGUUUUAAGCAAUGGAAAUGGGGCUUGCCUCAUGUCGAAAAAAAUAUUCAUAGUAAGCUGUGCUUUUGUGGCUCCGAUGAACUUCUAUGUAGUUGUGUAUGCAUCAAAAAAAGAUUCAGUACAUGUUUUGGUGCUUAAGGGCUACUAUGAUAAUUGAAUUGUUGGUUCUCCAAGCCUACAUAUAUCCUUUGGUAUCUUGCAUCAUGAAGCUAAUAUUUCGUUCAUCAUUUCUUUAAAAUCCAAAAGGUAAUCGUUUAGUAUCUUCUUAUUCACAUUAUUUACUUAUGUUUGAAUUAUUUAUUUAAUCUUAGCCCUGUAUAUCACGCCAUCUACAUCUUGGUUUUGAUGUUUUAUUUUUGAUACCCCGUGAGAUGUCGUUGAAAGUGGUGACAAGAAGCAGGAGACCAAGAAUUAGAUGGGUGUCAGAAUUGUUCUUGAAUGAAUCUACGGAUUGGAAUCGCAACCUAAUUAGCAGCAUUUUCUUGCCGGUGGAUGUGGAAGCUAUCAUGAGGAUCAGAGUCCCAGAAAGAAUCAUGAAUGACCAGAUUGCUUGGCAUUAUGAAAAGUCAGGUCAGUUUUCUGUCAAAUCAGCAUAUAAGUUGGCACUAAAACUGCAGAGUCAGGAUCAAAUGGCCUCAAGUAGUAAUCCUAAGCAAAGAGAGAAGCUCUGCAAAGGCAUGCCAAGAAUUUCCAGAAGAACUGGCUGCAAAGUGUUUAAGGGUUACAAGAAAUGAGGUGGGAUAAGAAUUUUUUUGUCUUGCAAGCUUGAUAAUCUACUUUAUUAGUAUUUUUGGAAGCUAUGCUCAGUCCCCUUCGUGACUUUUGCUUACAAAGCUGUUCCUAAACUACUCGAAGACUUUUUUAGAGAAUAUUGGGAACUAUCAGUACAAACUUUGCUUUGUCAAAAAGAUCUAUAAGAGAUUAACUUCAGUAUUGCAUCGAGUUUUAUUUGACAAAGCUCUAGGCGAAAUUGAUUUCAAUGUGGUAGCAAAUUCUCGAGGUCAAAGAGCAUUAUUAGAAGAUAUUGAUAUGAAUCUGGAACUAUAAGAAGUGGAUGCUGAAUUUCCUAUCGGCAGAGAAGGAUGAGCUUCGCGAUGAGAAGCAGAAGCUGGAACUAGAGAAGGAGAGUUUAGAGCACCAGAUGAAGCUUAUGACCUCAACUCCAGCCUACAUGCCUCAUCCAACCCUGAUGCCAGCGCCCUUCCCACAGGCUCCGCUAACACCGUUCCAUCUCCAGGCGCAAGAUGCAAGGCAGAAACCGCUCCUGCUCGCCAUGAGCUUGAUGAAUUAGCUGUGAGGCGAGUAUACCUCUGUUGUGUCGCCUUGUGCUCGCCACACACUCGCUUGCAACUUGGGAUGGUCUUCUCAACCAUCGUCUGACUUGAGGCAUCACUUUAGGGGAUAUUCAUCAACAUCAGAGGAUGCAUUUUUGGCCUCUGAAGUAGGACAGGGUUGCAGCAGUAUGUGCAAGUGCAGUGUUAUCGGUUUUGAUAAGAGAUGAUUCCAGCUAGAGUGCCAUAAUUAGUUUUUUAUUUAAAGGAUGUGUACAGAAGGCACCGAUGCUGUGGGGCAUGUUGCUCGUCUAAAUUAUGUUACCUCGUCAUUCAUCUCUCCUGAAACUGUCAAACAUGCUGCCAUGUGUGGCUUGUCAACACGGCUACUAAGUCCAAACUAUUUGCAGAUAAGGAGCGUGAAAUUCAGAGAUUAGCUGCUACCAUCAUAAUUCAUCAGGUUUGUUGCAGUACCAAAUUUAUUGUUACUCGAAAUUCUGAACAGGGGAUUAUUUUACUUGGGGAUACAACAGAUAGUAACAUCUCAUUUCUCCAUGUCGUCAGUGUUGUUCCUCACUUAAUAUCCAUGACUUGAUGCAAGAUGAGGCCAUGUGCCUCCUCCAAUCUGGUGAUGUGCUAGCGUAAAAAAAAAAUGGUACACGACAAUAGUAGAAAUAAAACAGGACCAACCUCUUAUUAUCAUUUCACCUUGAGUCCUUGUUUAUUAUGCAGUUUAACUUCUGUAUUUUGCCAGCUUGGCUUAGCUGAUGCAUUGGUUUGAUGAAGUGACACUGUCAUAGUCAGCACAGGGGAUACAAAUCAAGGUAAAUAGGGUUUUCCUUCAUUGCGACUUGUUGACAGAGGGCGCAAAGGACAAACCAAUGUGCCCAAACAUCCUGAGAAGCAUGGUCAAAGCACAACUGUGACAGAGGGCUUAGAUGAUAUCUUGGUGAAGCAUGUAUCUAGGCUUGAAAGGGAAAAGAUUGAUUAUGAAAAGAGGAAUCCAUUGACCAACCUGCCACAUGAUCAGCGAAAGAAUGGUAACAAUGCUCAAGCAUUUGAAAGUUUAGAUCAAGUCUUAUUGAAGCAUGUAAGUCGACUAGAAAGGCAAAAGAUGGACUAUGAGAAGAGGAAUGCAUUGGGAGGAGGAACCAACAUGCAGAGUGACAUGCAAAGGCCCUGUAACAGUGCCAUUGCUGCGGGCAGUUUAGAUCAAGUCUUAGUCAAGCGCAUCUCCAGGCUUGAAAAGGAGAAGAUUGAGCAUGAAAAGAUGGGGUAUGAUCUUGCUAAAGAGUCAUGCACAAUGUACUGAUGGGGCAGCAGGAAGUUUGACUGACAUCUUUGUCAAAGCUUCCAACGAAACUUGAGCAGGCCAAGCUAGCAUCUGCUGCCGAAGAAACACCAGCCAGUGGGUUAAACCCUGUCGGAGAGCAUAGAAGAGCAAGAGAGAAGGAACUUCUGGAUGCGUGGGGGAGGAAUGGGCCUUGGGAACUCUGAAGCCUCGUGUCCAUUAUUGAGAGAGCUAAGGCUGCUUGGAGGAUAACUGAUAAUGAACAGAAGCAGAUGGUUGCUGCAAGGGAGCUAUGACUUGGCUGAAUUGGAUGGUGCUCCAGCUCGGAGGAAAAAUGCAAGCUCUGAACUCCUUUCUUCUGCUGAACAGAACUAGCGAUUGUUUGUUAGGAUCAGAUUAUCCAGUGGAUCUUGACCUGCCGUAAAGCUUGACAUUGUCAACAGGUUACUAGAUCAUAUCCACGAUAGAUUUGCUAGACUCUACUACUAUUUGACAACCACUUGUUGAUGUGUUUAAUAAAAAUGCUGAUAGCAUAUAGUUGAUUCUUUUUUGGUAUACAUGCAUUUUAUCUGGA
Long non-coding RNA from Panicum virgatum (switchgrass), 4315 nucleotides. RefSeq lists it as uncharacterized. The record is from RefSeq and is a predicted model, not a curated record. The transcript has 10 exons. Lineage: Eukaryota; Viridiplantae; Streptophyta; Magnoliopsida; Poales; Poaceae.